AUGUCUUGGUUCCUAUUCUUUCUUUCUUUUUUGCAUGCUAGGAUUUCAAGUCGAUUAUGAUCCUUUUAAAGUCGAGUGAUUAACUAAUCAUCCUCCUAGGUACCAAGUCAUAGGUAUACGAGCUGGAACAGCAAGUAGCAAGGGCUCUGUUUUGUGGGUGGAGGCUACCGAGAGGUCCCAUUUCAUGUUGAUUAGUUUCUUUUAUCCAGGAGUGAAGUUGACUUAUACGGAGUAUAAGAUAAAGUAUGAAGGUUCCCUUUGUUAGUUUAACCUUAUCGAGUCAAUUAUGACUGUCCAGGUAAUUGGCACAGUAAUUCCAACCGAAGCACAGCAGUGAGAGAUGGACCGGAGCACAACACUAAAAGAAAUACACUUCAUAAAUCCAUACCAAAUUGAUUUAGCUCCGGAACAAUAAUCCUACGUGCAACUAAACUUUUCUACAAAAAAUAAAGUCAAUUAUGGAUUACCUUGG
Molecule: long non-coding RNA, 472 nt
Filed under: Sorghum bicolor (sorghum)
Lineage: Eukaryota; Viridiplantae; Streptophyta; Magnoliopsida; Poales; Poaceae
Description: long non-coding RNA (SBIC_LNC003987)
Source: RNAcentral